Molecule: non-coding RNA, 77 nt
Organism: Caenorhabditis brenneri
Lineage: Eukaryota; Metazoa; Nematoda; Chromadorea; Rhabditida; Rhabditidae
Source: the annotation of a GenBank genome assembly
GUCUCUAUGGCUCAGUAGGUUAGAGCGUAGGCAGACCAACAAAUUCAAGGUCUCAGGUUCGAACCCCACUGGUGACA